UAGGCAAUCAUUUUAAUAUAUUUGUAGCUAUUUUAAAUACAGUUUGGGGGUCGGUGUCAAGGAAGAGAGCCAGCAUCGUGUGACCAGCUUGCUCUUUAGGGAUAGAUCACCAAUGUUGCCAGAUAUAAGGAGGUUGUUUAAAAAAGAUUUAGGGCCAAGUUCAUUCCUGGUGUCCAGUCACUGACUCCAAUUGUUUUUCUGUUGAGGGAUUUUACUGAACAUUUGUCUAUGAAUCCAAAAAAAUGUGACCCAGGGGUGAGAGGAAGAGAAGGCUCAGAUUUUGGGUCAGUGGCUGAUUGAUGGCACAAGAAACAAAGGACCAACUCUUGUUAGUCUAUAGUUAAACUACAAAGAGAAGGAAGAAGAUGUAGAACUCAUCAUGAUGAGCUGUCUAAUCCUCCCACUUUAAUACACAUUUGUUUCAUCAGCUGAUUGAAAUUAAGAUCUACUGCAACAGAACACAGUUUUGGCAUGUGGGAGUUGCUUCAGCCAACACCCUUUAGCUGGAGAAGAACUUUAUGCAAGAUUAGCAACUUGACAUCAUAAACAACACAAAAAAAAGAGGAACUGACAUUUUGUUUAUGAAAGUUCUA
Mauremys reevesii (Reeves's turtle) is the source of this 593-nucleotide long non-coding RNA. RefSeq lists it as uncharacterized. Lineage: Eukaryota; Metazoa; Chordata; Testudines; Geoemydidae. The record is from RefSeq and is a predicted model, not a curated record. The transcript is spliced from 3 exons.